This 444-nucleotide ribosomal RNA is filed under the name uncultured Bradyrhizobiaceae bacterium. RNAcentral describes it as "bacterial SSU rRNA". It matches the Rfam family "Bacterial small subunit ribosomal RNA", at positions 335 to 796 of the family's 1533-position model. The record is from RNAcentral. Lineage: Bacteria; Pseudomonadati; Pseudomonadota; Alphaproteobacteria; Hyphomicrobiales; Nitrobacteraceae.
AGGCCUACGGGUGGCAGCAGUGGGGAAUAUUGGACAAUGGGGGCAACCCUGAUCCAGCCAUGCCGCGUGAGUGAUGAAGGCCCUAGGGUUGUAAAGCUCUUUUGUGCGGGAAGAUAAUGACGGUACCGCAAGAAUAAGCCCCGGCUAACUUCGUGCCAGCAGCCGCGGUAAUACGAAGGGGGCUAGCGUUGCUCGGAAUCACUGGGCGUAAAGGGUGCGUAGGCGGAUCUUUAAGUCAGAGGUGAAAGCCUGGAGCUCAACUCCAGAACUGCCUUUGAUACUGAGGAUCUCGAGUUCGGGAGAGGUGAGUGGAACUGCGAGUGUAGAGGUGAAAUUCGUAGAUAUUCGCAAGAACACCAGUGGCGAAGGCGGCUCACUGGCCCGAUACUGACGCUGAGGCACGAAAGCGUGGGGAGCAAACAGGAUUAGAUACCCGAGUAGUCA